CGUUGCUGCUAGAGGUCGGGCUGGGCCGGCGGCCUGCUCCGGUAAAAGCCACGAUGGCCCAGAUCUGCCUGAUUCAUUCAUUCUGUUAGCCAGCCAGAUGGCGAACCCAGCGCAUUUGUCGAAUAUCGGUCAAAAUUUGAAGAAUUCGGUGAGAAUACGGCCGAAAUUCGGGGAAAAAUUGAUUUUUUUUAAUUUGAAUUCAAAUUCGACCGAUAUGCGUCGGUUUUCGGAUCGAUAUUUGCGCUUUUUGUUCGCAUUUGUAAACCCUGGAUGGGCAACAAGUUCUGCAAUUCCUCACCAUUGAUGAUUUUUAGAAAGGUCUGAGGGGGGUGAUCGACAAAUAGUGGAUUUUGACCUUUCCCCUUUCUCCAGAGGAGUUUGAAUUUGCCCCAGCCCCGACGUGGGAAGCUGUUCAUCCAUGGAGGGAGGACUGCUUGCUCGUUCCUACAAUCGGCGCCAGUAGCCACUCCUCCGGCAAUCGCUUCUCGUCACCUCAACUCCCGGUCCUAGUUUGGCUUGUUCCUUCCGUCGGCGAAUGCUGACUGCAUCACUGCUUCUCAGGGAAGUAGGCACGCAACAAAUUCACCUUUGUCGGGGUGAUAUAGCCAGGCAGAAUUUGCAAUUUAGGGAUCUUCGUAGAUAUAGAACCUGAAGCAGGUCGCACUCUCCAACUGUUCCUAGCAGAUCUUCACCGUGCACACCGCUGUUGUGCACUUCAUGCCUACCAUCUUCUGAGAUGGGAAUACUAUCAUUUGCCACUGCACUAACUAGUCAGUCACCACUCCACACCCAGUCGAUUAGCAGCAUCUUCUCCUAUCCUCACUGCAGCAAGCAAGACACAAUCAUACAGCGGGAAAUACUCAUGGUAAGCAAGACACAAUGAGAUACAUGGUAAGCAAAAAUCUUGCCAAAUUGUAAACCAACUAAUACUCAUUGUCUUUCCCGUAAGCUCUAACAUCAUCCUUUGUUCCUUUGCC
This is a long non-coding RNA of Phragmites australis (common reed), 977 nucleotides long. RefSeq lists it as uncharacterized. The transcript is spliced from 3 exons. The record is from RefSeq and is a predicted model, not a curated record. NCBI's taxonomy places the organism in Eukaryota, Viridiplantae, Streptophyta, Magnoliopsida, Poales, Poaceae.